ACUUAACACCCUUUUAAGACGCAUCAAUCUUUUAUAAUGGCAUUAAGAUCUAGAUUUUUAUUUUCAAUAUCACAUUAUAUAAAGCAUCCAAGUUUUAUAUGCAGUGACAGAUCAGAAACAAAUUUGGUGGUGGCAAAUGGAAAUUUUGGAGGAAAAUGGGAGAGAAAGAAGAAGAUGGUUGGGAGCUGUCUAAAGAAAAGUUUUUUUGGUGAGAUUGGAGAAAUAGAGCACUGUAGCUAAAGAAUUUAAACAAUCUUACUGAGCUAUAGCCACCCUCCGUCCCCCACCCAUCACCUGCAUUCGCUCUUUCAAUAAUGGAAAAUAAUGUGUGCAUGUGUGUGUGUGUGUG
Molecule: unclassified non-coding RNA, 349 nt
Filed under: Hevea brasiliensis (rubber tree)
Lineage: Eukaryota; Viridiplantae; Streptophyta; Magnoliopsida; Malpighiales; Euphorbiaceae
Source: RNAcentral